GCGCUCGAAGCUCAUCAGGAUGAGCAUCCGGCUUUUACCCGGAGGGCAGUUGGUUCGAUUCCAACCGGGCGCACCA
Molecule: transfer RNA, 76 nt
Filed under: Terriglobia bacterium
Lineage: Bacteria; Pseudomonadati; Acidobacteriota; Terriglobia
Description: tRNA-Lys
Rfam family: tRNA
About the family: Transfer RNA (tRNA) molecules are approximately 80 nucleotides in length. Their secondary structure includes four short double-helical elements and three loops (D, anti-codon, and T loops).
Source: RNAcentral